GUAAUUACAUGCUACAGAUUGGAAGAAUAGUAUUUACAGUGGAACUUGUCUUUCAUUUAGAAGUUUUGUGCGGCUGAAUAUACCGACUGUGGUGAAAAUGGUUUCCGUUAUGGUUUUCUGAUUCGCCGUCCUUGCUGUAAAGGUCUUUUCUGUGAACAGCUUGGCACUCGACGGUUGUGUAUGAAACGGUGGCGCUGGAAGAAUACCAAUGAAGUGUACUUUUCAUGAAUCUGUGGCUCUUCAGACCAUCGAUAUUUUCUUGAAGACUACAAUAUCUACUUUAAAUUCAUUAUGUGUAUGCUUUGUCUAAUAGAUAAAAAGGGUAUUGAUAAUAUAAACCGGUUUCUUGAAUAAAGUCACCCAUUUUCCUUGGCUUUUUUUAUGUCAUAAA
Limulus polyphemus (Atlantic horseshoe crab) is the source of this 391-nucleotide long non-coding RNA. RefSeq lists it as uncharacterized. The record is from RefSeq and is a predicted model, not a curated record. The transcript has 2 exons. NCBI's taxonomy places the organism in Eukaryota, Metazoa, Arthropoda, Merostomata, Xiphosura, Limulidae.